Molecule: ribosomal RNA, 229 nt
Filed under: uncultured bacterium
Lineage: Bacteria
Description: partial 16S ribosomal RNA
Rfam family: Bacterial small subunit ribosomal RNA
Source: RNAcentral
CGGGGUGAGUAAUGUAUGGGGAUCUGCCUGAUGGGGGGGGAUAACUACUGGAAACGGUAGCUAAUACCGCAUAACGUCGCAAGACCAAAGAGGGGGACCUUCGGGCCUCUUGCCAUCGGAUGUGCCCAGAUGGGAUUAGCUAGUAGGUGGGGUAACGGCUCACCUAGGCGACGAUCCCUAGCUGGUCUGAGAGGAUGACCAGCCACACUGGAACUGAGACACGGUCCAG